UCAAAUGCCUGAAUCAUUUUAAAACCCCCCAAAAAAAUAAUGCUUUCCAUAAAAAUAAAUCACUGUAAAUCGUUUUUGGCCCGGGCAAUUACCAUAUUUCACUCAUAAUUGUACAACUCCUAUGGUCAGAUAAUUGUGGGCACUCUCUCAGUCGGGCCGUCUUCCUGUUCGGUCCGCUUCCCCAAAACCGAAACUCAGAGUCCCGACUCUCUCUACCUUCUCACACUCAUCACUUAGAUCAGGUAAACGCGUGGCGUUCAAUACAUACACAAUAUCUGCGUGUAACAUGAACACCGCUGGCGUCAUUAAGCGCUCCCGGCCGCGAUUAGGCCGUCUGGAGACUCACUGCGCCGCCUGUCUGUCAAAUUGCUGAGGGGUCCCACUCUGAGGAGCGCAAUUGAUUUAAGAGAGCCCUCUAGGUCCAGUGUGCAUUUUCAUCAAAACUGCAAAAUCGAUGCUAAGCAGAUUCAGAUCUUCGUCGCUGGCUAUAUUUCAGCUAGUGCCCUCACUAAUGCUGACGUGUCCGAGGCGGCCAUUAUUACCCGCCAUUAGCAUUACUGUCACACACAAACACACGCACAUUCCUAAACAUCCUUGUUGAGAUUUCUCUUUCACAUCCCAUUUAUAAUUAGUUUAGCCUCUUGAAAAAAACUUUGUUGGUCAUUUUAGAUUUGAAAUAAGACAUUUUAUGUCCAUUUAAGAUUUUUACGUUCUAUAAUUAUUGUCAAGAUUUGGUUUUCUUCAAGGGACAUUCAGAGAAGUUUUGUCCCAAAAAUCAUAUCUGUACAUGUAUGUAUGCAUGUAAGAUACAGAUUCAUAUCUGACCAUAAAUUAUCCAAAAAUUAAUAUGUGACUGCAUAUAUUUGGACCACACUACUGUGCUGUGAUUUUCAUACAGUACACUCAGUUUAAAUGGUAUGUUUAAUCUCCACUACUUGAUUGUUGAAUUGUCAUACUGUAUACUGUUUUGCACAGCAAAAUUAAAAAAAAAAAUGGAUAUAUAGUACACUCUACUUUACCUGUGUACAUACAGUAUAAUCACACAGCAGUAUAUACUAUAUAGCAAAUUUUGGCUGUAUGAUUGUUUUUAUCAUUGGAAAAGGUGAACUGUGUUAUCACACAUCUCUAUAGAAAGAUGGAUAUAUAUUUUAGCCAAAUUUAUCUGCAUGCAUACUGUACACUUAUGUGAAGCAAUAUAUACUAUAUA
Cyprinus carpio carpio is the source of this 1207-nucleotide long non-coding RNA. NCBI's taxonomy places the organism in Eukaryota, Metazoa, Chordata, Actinopteri, Cypriniformes, Cyprinidae. The record is from Ensembl.